GACGAACGACUUCCUUUUUUCUGAGAUGAGGUGAUAAACAUCAAAACCAGAACAAUCUCAUAUUAUUAGAUAAAUAUCAAAACCAAAUCUCAACAAUUUCGUCUAACCUCCACUUAAAAAUACUACAGAAUCACCAAAAUAAUAUCAAGUAUAAUACAACAUACAUGAAAAUUAUUUCUUAAGCCUAAUAAAAUUUCAAUCUAACUCAUAAAGCAUAGUGACACAAUCAUGAACAUAAAAUCCUACAAACAACAUGCUUAUUACCUUAUACAAAUUCAUUACCCUUACCAAAGCAAACAACAACUAAAAGGUACUCAUAGAAUCAGCACAAGCACAAAUGAUUAUAAAUAAAUCUUUAAUUUGCAAAGGAGAUAACUUUACAUAAUGGAAAAAUAUAUUGACUCAAUGAUAUCUAAUUCUUUAAAACUAGAACAAUCUCACAUUCUUAGAUAAACAUCAAAAUCAUACCUCAAACAAUUCCCUCUAACCUCCACCUAAAAAUGCUCAAGAAUCACCAAAGUAGUAUCAAAUAUAAUAUGGCAUGUGUGAAAAUUAUUUCCUAAAACAUAUAUUAACAAACAAAAAAACUCACCUGUUAGGUUUUCUACAUAUUUUGGAAAUCGGUAGAAUAUUUAGAAAAAAGUGAAAUUAGAGAAUUAUGAUUUACGAUUAUAGUACAAGAAUCAUGAAAUUAGGGAUUUCUAUUCAAAAUUGAAGUGAAUCAAACCUCAUGAGAAGCUUCAAUUUGAGCUAAUGUUGAACAACGGUGGAGGUUGAAGCUCAUAGGAGGACAAAGCUCACAGUGACGGUGAUGACAAAGCUCAUAGUGACGACGAUGGUGGAGCUCACAACGAUGACGAUGAUGGAGCUCAAAUCGAUGAAGACGAUGGAGCUCGAUGGUGGAGAGAGACAGAUAAAUGAAUGAGGGGGAGGGGGAGAGCGAACGAGAGAGAAAGAAAAGUGAACGAGAGAGAAA
This 976-nucleotide long non-coding RNA is filed under the name Lupinus angustifolius (narrow-leaved blue lupine). RNAcentral describes it as "long non-coding RNA (LANG_LNC003664)". The record is from RNAcentral. Lineage: Eukaryota; Viridiplantae; Streptophyta; Magnoliopsida; Fabales; Fabaceae.